CCUUAAGACAUCGGCGGACGGGUGAGUAACACGUGGGUAACCUGCCUGUAAGACUGGGAUAACUCCGGGAAACCGGGGCUAAUACCGGAUGCUUGAUUGAACCGCAUGGUUCAAUCAUAAAAGGUGGCUUUUAACUACCACUUACAGAUGGACCCGCGGCGCAUUAACUAGUUGGUGAGGUAACGGCUCACCAAGGCGACGAUGCGUAACCGACCUGAGAGGGUGAUCGGCCACACUGGGACUGAAACACGGCCCAAACUCCUACGGGAGGCAGCAGUAGGGAAUCUUCCGCAAUGGACGAAAGUCUGACGGAACAACGCCGCGUGAGUGAUGAAGGUUUUCGGAUCGUAAAACUCUGUUGUUAGGGAAGAACAAGUACCGUUCGAAUAGGGCGGCACCUUGACGGUACCUAACCAGAAAGCCACGGCUAACUACGUGCCAGCAGCCGCGGUAAUACGUAGGUGGCAAGCGUUGUCCGGAAUUAUUGGGCGUAAAGCGCGCGCAGGCGGUUUCUUAAGUCUGAUGUGAAAGCCCCCGGCUCAACCGGGGAGGGUCAUUGGAAACUGGGGAACUUGAGUGCAGAAGAAGAGAGUGGAAUUCCACGUGUAGCGGUGAAAUGCGUAGAGAUGUGGAGGAACACCAGUGGCGAAAGCGACUCUCUGGUCUGUAACUGACGCUGAGCGCGAAAGCGUGGGGAGCCGAACAGGAUUAGA
RNAcentral lists this ribosomal RNA (713 nucleotides) under Bacillus licheniformis. RNAcentral describes it as "bacterial SSU rRNA". It matches the Rfam family "Bacterial small subunit ribosomal RNA", at positions 85 to 782 of the family's 1533-position model. The record is from RNAcentral. Lineage: Bacteria; Bacillati; Bacillota; Bacilli; Caryophanales; Bacillaceae.